RNAcentral lists this ribosomal RNA (492 nucleotides) under uncultured bacterium. RNAcentral's name for it is "partial 16S ribosomal RNA". It matches the Rfam family "Bacterial small subunit ribosomal RNA", at positions 29 to 507 of the family's 1533-position model. The record is from RNAcentral.
AGUGAACGCUGGCGGUAGGCCUAACACAUGCAAGUCGAACGGCAGCACAGUAAGAGCUUGCUCUUACGGGUGGCGAGUGGCGGACGGGUGAGGAAUACAUCGGAAUCUACUUUUUCGUGGGGGAUAACGUAGGGAAACUUACGCUAAUACCGCAUACGACCUACGGGUGAAAGCAGUGGAUCUUCGGACCUUGCGCGAUUGAAUGAGCCGAUGUCGGAUUAGCUAGUUGGCGGGGUAAAGGCCCACCAAGGCGACGAUCCGUAGCUGGUCUGUGAGGAUGAUCAGCCACACUGGAACUGAGACACGGUCCAGACUCCUACGGGAGGCAGCAGUGGGGAAUAUUGGACAAUGGGCGCAAGCCUGAUCCAGCCAUACCGCGUGAGUGAAGAAGGCCUUCGGGUUGUAAAGCCCUUUUGUUAGGAAAGAAAAGCAGCAGGUUAAUACCCCGCUGUUCUGACGGUACCCAAAGAAUAAGCACCGGCUAACUUCGUG